GACGAACGCUGGCGGCGUGCUUAACACAUGCAAGUCGAACGAAGAGCGAUGGAAGCUUGCUUCUAUCCAUCUUAGUGGCGAACGGGUGAGUAACGCGUAAUCAACCUGCCCUUCUGGGGGGGACAACAGUUGGUAACGACUGCUAAUACUGCAUACGAUCUAAUCUCGGCAUCGAGGAUAGAUGAAAGGUGGCCUGUACAUGUAAGCUAUCACUUAAGGAUGGGGUUGCGGCUGAUUAGCUAGUUGGAGGGGUAACGGCGCACCAAGGCGAUGAUCAGUAGCCGGUCUGAGAGGAUGAGCAGCCAGAUUGGGACGGAGACACGGCCCAGACGGCUACGGGAGGCAGCAGUAGUGAAUCUUCCGCAAGGGACGAGAGACUGACGGAGCAACGCCGCGUGAGUGAGGACGACCUUCGGGUUGGAAAGCUCGGUUAAUCGGGACGAAAGGCCUUCUUGCGAAGAGUGAGAAGGAUUGACGGUACCGGAAUAGAAAGCCACGGCUAACUACGUG
Molecule: ribosomal RNA, 510 nt
Filed under: uncultured bacterium
Lineage: Bacteria
Description: partial 16S ribosomal RNA
Rfam family: Bacterial small subunit ribosomal RNA
Source: RNAcentral